Molecule: transfer RNA, 60 nt
Filed under: Gellertiella hungarica
Lineage: Bacteria; Pseudomonadati; Pseudomonadota; Alphaproteobacteria; Hyphomicrobiales; Rhizobiaceae
Description: tRNA-Thr
Source: RNAcentral
UGGGGUGCGACCACAUUUGUAAUCAGGGGGUCGCGGGUUCGAACCCUGCCGGGGGCACCA